Sapajus apella (tufted capuchin) is the source of this 1200-nucleotide RNA transcript. It is a transcript of the gene named EF-hand calcium binding domain 2, with no coding region annotated. The transcript is spliced from 9 exons. The record is from RefSeq and is a predicted model, not a curated record. Lineage: Eukaryota; Metazoa; Chordata; Mammalia; Primates; Cebidae.
GCGGCGCGCGGCUCCCGGCGGCAGACGGGGCUUCUGGUCUUCCCGCCGCGCGAGGGUCGAGGCGGGAAGCCGGGACCGGGCGCGCGCUCGGAGCCUCCUCCCCGCCCCGGUCCGCCCCGCCCCAGGGUCUUCCUCCCCCGGGGUUCGGGGCGGCCCCUCCUCCCGGCCAGGCUGGCCGCGGGGCGCUGAGCGGGCCGGGACUCUGCGGCCGAGGCUGUCGUUAGGCAUCGCCCCGGCGACCCGCUCCGCAGCAAGAUGGCGGACGAGAAGGACAGGGAAGAGACAGCAGUAGCAGAAUUUCACAAAAAAAUCAAAGAGGCAUUUGAAGUGUUUGACCAUGAGUCGAAUAAUACAGUGGAUGUGAGAGAGAUUGGAACAAUUAUCAGGUCAUUGGGAUGCUGCCCUAGCGAAGGAGAGCUGCACGAUCUGAUUGCAGAGGUCUUCACUCCGGGUUCUGAAGGCACUCCUCGUCUUCAUGUUCCUGCUAAUGCUGUUGAGAUAGUGCAAGUCCAUUCUGAUUCCCAAUCCUUUCUAGAGGAAGAAGAACCCACUGGAUACAUUCGAUUUGAAAAAUUUCUUCCGGUGAUGACAGAAAUACUACUAGAAAGAAGAUACAGACCAAUUCCAGAAGAUGUCCUUCUUCGAGCUUUUGAGGUUUUAGAUACAGCUAAACGUGGGUUUCUUACUAAGGACGAACUGAUCAAGUAUAUGACUGAGGAAGAAAAGCUGUCACCCGUGCAGCGUACCUGCCAUGGAAUGUUGUCCUGAAUACCGAGUGAGAGUGCUGAGUACUGUCGCGGUGUCGGGAAAGUGCAGCUCCUGAAAGAACAGAAGAAAGUGACCUGUGCACCUCUGAGUAAAGAGGUCACAUGGAGAAGUGUAAAAUACAGAGCCUCUUACAAGCAAAGGGGAAGAUAAGGUCUGCACUCGUGGGCACUGAGUCAAGACCACCGAGUGCACACGUGCGUGGGUCUGACGCCCGGCGAGUGGCGGGGACAGCAGCACCCCAGCCUCUGCCCCCACCUGCUGACCACAGGGUAAAGUGUCUGCUUGUAAAAGAAAAGUAUGGCUCCUUCUCCCCUCAGCCCGGCCGAAUCUUCCACAAGUCAUUUGCAAAAUAUGGAAGGUAUGGAGCAAAGAACUUUCUUUACAGCACACAUGGGCUUUUCUAGGGGUGCAAAAAUGAAUCGAUGAAUGAAG